AGAGUUGAUCCUGGCUCAGAGUGAACGCUGGCGGCAGGCCUAAUACAUGCAAGUCGAACGGCAGCACAGCAGAGCUUGCUCUGUGGGUGGCGAGUGGCGGACGGGUGAGGAAUACAUGGGAAUCUGCCCAGUCGUGGGGGAUAACGUAGGGAAACUUACGCUAAUACCGCAUGCGCCCUUCGGGGAAAGCCGGGGACCUUCGGGCCUGGCGCGAUUGGAUGAGCCCAUGUCGGAUUAGCUAGUUGGCGGGGUAAUGGCCCACCAAGGCGACGAUCCGUAGCUGGUCUGAGAGGAUGAUCAGCCACACUGGAACUGAGACACGGUCCAGACUCCUACGGGAGGCAGCAGUAGGGAAUAUUGGACAAUGGGCGCAAGCCUGAUCCAGCCAUGCCGCGUGAGUGAAGAAGGCCCUCGGGUUGUAAAGCUCUUUUGUCCGGAAAGAAAAGCGCCGGGUUAAUACCCUAGUGUCCUGACGGUACCGGAAGAAUAAGCACCGGCUAACUUCGUG
This 508-nucleotide ribosomal RNA is filed under the name uncultured bacterium. Its description in RNAcentral is "bacterial SSU rRNA". It matches the Rfam family "Bacterial small subunit ribosomal RNA", at positions 8 to 507 of the family's 1533-position model. The record is from RNAcentral.